This 71-nucleotide transfer RNA is filed under the name Tenualosa thibaudeaui (Mekong herring). RNAcentral describes it as "tRNA-Pro". It matches the Rfam family "tRNA". Rfam says of the family: Transfer RNA (tRNA) molecules are approximately 80 nucleotides in length. Their secondary structure includes four short double-helical elements and three loops (D, anti-codon, and T loops). The record is from RNAcentral. Lineage: Eukaryota; Metazoa; Chordata; Actinopteri; Clupeiformes; Clupeidae.
CAGAGAAUAGUUUAAACUUAGAAUUCUAGCUUUGGGAGUUAGAGGUGGAAGUUGGAAUCUUUCUUUUCUGG